UGGGGAAUAUUGUACACUGGGCGCAAGCCUGAUCCAGCCAUGCCGCGUGAGUGAUGAAGGCCCUAGGGUUGUAAAGCUCUUUCACCGGUGAAGAUAAUGACGGUAACCGGAGAAGAAGCCCCGGCUAACUUCGUGCCAGCAGCCGCGGUAAUACGAAGGGGGCUAGCGUUGUUCGGAUUUACUGGGCGUAAAGCGCACGUCGGCGGUCUUUUAAGUCAGGGGUGAAAUCCCGGGGCUAAACCCCGGAACUGCCUUUGAUACUGGAAGUCGUGAGUAUGGUAGAGGUGAGUGGAAUUCCGAGUGUAGAGGUGAAAUUCGUAGAUAUUCGGAGGAACACAAGGGGCGAAGGGGGCUCACUGGAACAUUACUGACGCUGAGGUGCGAAAGCGUGGGGAGCAAAGAGG
RNAcentral lists this ribosomal RNA (404 nucleotides) under Actinomycetes bacterium. Its description in RNAcentral is "Actinobacteria bacterium partial 16S ribosomal RNA". It matches the Rfam family "Bacterial small subunit ribosomal RNA", at positions 355 to 776 of the family's 1533-position model. The record is from RNAcentral. Lineage: Bacteria; Bacillati; Actinomycetota; Actinomycetes.